Molecule: ribosomal RNA, 497 nt
Filed under: uncultured bacterium
Lineage: Bacteria
Description: partial 16S ribosomal RNA
Rfam family: Bacterial small subunit ribosomal RNA
Source: RNAcentral
GAUGAACGCUGGCGGCGUGCCUAAUACAUGCAAGUCGAGCGAACAGACGAGGAGCUUGCUCCUCUGACGUUAGCGGCGGACGGGUGAGUAACACGUGGAUAACCUACCUAUAAGACUGGGAUAACUUCGGGAAACCGGAGCUACUACCGGAUAAUAUAUUGAACCGCAUGGUUCACUAGUGAAAGACGGUUUUGCUGUCACUUAUAGAUGGAUCCGCGCCGCAUUAGCUAGUUGGUAAGGUAACGGCUUACCAAGGCAACGAUGCGUAGCCGACCUGAGAGGGUGAUCGGCCACACUGGAACUGAGACACGGUCCAGACUCCUAGGGGAGGCAGCAGUAGGGAAUCUUCCGCAAUGGGCGAAAGCCUGACGGAGCAACGCCGCGUGAGUGAUGAAGGUCUUCGGAUCGUAAAACUCUGUUAUUAGGGAAGAACAAAUGUGUAAGUAACUAUGCACGUCUUGACGGUACCUAAUCAGAAAGCCACGGCUAACUACGUG